RNAcentral lists this ribosomal RNA (480 nucleotides) under uncultured bacterium. Its description in RNAcentral is "partial 16S ribosomal RNA". It matches the Rfam family "Bacterial small subunit ribosomal RNA", at positions 28 to 507 of the family's 1533-position model. The record is from RNAcentral.
GAUGAACGCUAGCGGCAGGCCUAACACAUGCAAGUCGAGGGAGAGGUUACCUUCGGGUAACCAAAACCGGCGCACGGGUGCGUAACGCGUAUACAAUCUGCCUUUCACAUAGGGAUAGCCCGAAGAAAUUUGGAUUAAUACCUAAUGGUAUAUAAGAGCGGCAUCGUUUUUAUAUUAAAGUUACGGUGGUGAAAGAUGAGUAUGCGUUCUAUUAGCUAGUUGGAGAGGUAACGGCUCCCCAAGGCGACGAUAGAUAGGGGUUCUGAGAGGGAUGUCCCCCACACUGGUACUGAGAUACGGACCAGACUCCUACGGGAGGCAGCAGUGAGGAAUAUUGGACAAUGGUCGGAAGACUGAUCCAGCCAUGCCGCGUGCAGGAUGAAGGUCCUAUGGAUUGUAAACUGCUUUUGUAAGGGAAGAAUAAGGAGUACGUGUACUUUGAUGACGGUACCUUACGAAUAAGCAUCGGCUAACUCCGUG